AGAGUACAUUUGAGCCGAGGAUGACUUGCCGGCAAAAGAAGAAUCCCCUCUGAGGAUGUUGCUGGCAAAGAUUCCGGGCUCAUGUUUGCUCUCU
Molecule: microRNA precursor, 94 nt
Filed under: Lupinus angustifolius (narrow-leaved blue lupine)
Lineage: Eukaryota; Viridiplantae; Streptophyta; Magnoliopsida; Fabales; Fabaceae
Source: RNAcentral